CUAAGGUCCACGCAGUUCAAAAU
RNAcentral lists this non-coding RNA (23 nucleotides) under Rattus norvegicus (Norway rat). The record is from RNAcentral. Lineage: Eukaryota; Metazoa; Chordata; Mammalia; Rodentia; Muridae.